AUGGCGGAUAGCUGGGUUGCCAGCAUGAUCCCAAAUUACCUUCUUUUUGCUUACUCUUGCUUUGCUUGUAGGGCCAAGUUAGUUCAAGACGUAAUAUGGGGCAGGAAGAUAUCAGCAGAAGAAGAUAGCCCCUGUUCUUCCUUAUGCCAAUGGGGCCAGAUCCUCUGCUUCUCUGAGAGCAGAGUACAGCUUCUGGAAAGGAAGGCAGCAGACUGCACAGAGGACAGCAAUGAAGGAGCUUCCCUCUGCUCAGCAUCUCUAAAAUAAUCUUAAAAACACCUCAAAACCCGGAAAGUUAUGGGAACACUCCAACAGAUGCAGAGAAUUACAGCUGUUAAGCAUUCCUUGUAAUAAUGAGAGAAAAAGUCAAGAAAAAGGUUUUUCUCAUUCCACUUUGCUUUGUAUUGAGAAGGGAAACUGAGUAGGUUAGCUAGAAAUAGGGACUUGGUAAAGGAGAACUAAAGUGCUCAUCACUCCAGUGCCAGCUGGCAGAGGAUGCACUCUGGUCCUACAGAGGGAGGGACACAUGCACAGUGCAGGCCCAGUCCCAGCUGCACCUUUUUUAUUUUUUUUUGGAAAACUGUAAUUAUUGUUAACAUUUUAGGUAAGCUUGGGUAAGUGGGAUGAGCUUUAAGACCAGAGUACAGAGCUUUCAUGUUUUUCUAUAGGGGAAAGUCCUGUUCUGGUUCUAGCAACACUGACUGGCAGGGAACAAAGAGACAUGUUUGGGAGAGAUCACUGAACACAUACCUGAUAAAGAAUGCUACUCAAAAACAUUCUCCUGGUGGAUCUCAAAUGUUCAAGCCAGCUUUCCUACCCUGACUGAUCCACCACCUACAUCUCAGAAAACUCUUGGGGUCCUUUGCUGAACAUGAGACCUGACAUUUAAGCCUUCACUGAGCUGCCUCCCAGUCAGCCCCAAGCCCAUACUGGUGUGGGUGGUUAUUCCAUCCCAGAUGCAAGGCUCUUGCUUUGCACUUGCUUUGGUUGAAACUCAUGAGGUUCCUGUCACCCCAUUUCUCCAGCCUCUUCAUGUCACUUCAGAUAGCAGCCCUGCCCUCCAGCAUAUUGAAUCCCUCACCCAACCUCACUGUAAGAGCACACAGUCCCACCAUCCCGAUUGUUAAUGAAGACAUUAAACUGCAUUGGUACCAGUACUGAUCCCUGAGGGAUCAUUCUCUCAGACUCUGCCAGCAGGCUCAGAGACCUGUGAGGCCUGGGGUCAAAUAGCAGUGAUAACAGGCAAAAAAGGCAUAAAGCUGCAGGA
RNAcentral lists this long non-coding RNA (1267 nucleotides) under Anas platyrhynchos platyrhynchos (common mallard). RNAcentral describes it as "lncRNA (ENSAPLG00000016985.1)". The record is from RNAcentral. Lineage: Eukaryota; Metazoa; Chordata; Aves; Anseriformes; Anatidae.